Molecule: long non-coding RNA, 341 nt
Organism: Lates calcarifer (barramundi perch)
Lineage: Eukaryota; Metazoa; Chordata; Actinopteri; Centropomidae
Exons: 4
Source: RefSeq, a predicted model, not a curated record
UCAGAAUCGAUCAUCAUUCAAAGACAAACAAACUCCAGAUGAUCUGAAAUACUUUUGGUUUUCGAUUUGCACUAGACGAUUCCUUUGAGAAAGAGACUUCGAACAAUGUCUUCGCGUCGCACCUGAGCAGAAAAUUUUAGAGAGAUGAAGAAAGAGGGGUAGAGAGGUAGAGGAGGUGGGAGGGCAAUAUGAGGUGUAAACCCUCUCGUGGUAAAGAGAGGAGAAACAGUUAGAUAAAAGAAAACCCUCUCAUGUAAAAGACGAGAAACAAUUAGAGAAGAAAAGGGACACGAUGAAGGAAAAAGUCAUUGAAAAGAGGAGAGGAGAGGAGAGAAGGUGGG